UACAGAGGUCCCAAGCGUUGUUCGGAUUCACUGGGCGUAAAGGGUGCGUAGGCGGGUCUUUAAGUCAGGGGUGAAAUCCUGGAGCUCAACUCCAGAACUGCCUUUGAUACUGAAGAUCUUGAGUUCGGGAGAGGUGAGUGGAACUGCGAGUGUAGAGGUGAAAUUCGUAGAUAUUCGCAAGAACACCAGUGGCGAAGGCGGCUCUCUGGACCGAUACUGACGCUGAGGCGCGAAAGCGUGGGGAGCAAACAGG
RNAcentral lists this ribosomal RNA (253 nucleotides) under uncultured bacterium. RNAcentral's name for it is "partial 16S ribosomal RNA". It matches the Rfam family "Bacterial small subunit ribosomal RNA", at positions 524 to 776 of the family's 1533-position model. The record is from RNAcentral.